GGAUAGACAGCUCAGUGGUAGAGCACAUGCUUAGCAUGCAAAAGGUCCUGGGUUCAAUCCCCAGUCCCUCCA
Molecule: transfer RNA, 72 nt
Filed under: Camelus bactrianus (Bactrian camel)
Lineage: Eukaryota; Metazoa; Chordata; Mammalia; Artiodactyla; Camelidae
Also listed under: 2 other names
Rfam family: tRNA
About the family: Transfer RNA (tRNA) molecules are approximately 80 nucleotides in length. Their secondary structure includes four short double-helical elements and three loops (D, anti-codon, and T loops).
Source: Rfam by way of RNAcentral